GACGAACGCUGGCGGCGUGCUUAACACAUGCAAGUCGAACGCUGAAGCUCAGCUUUUGUUGGGGGGACGAGUGGCGAACGGGUGAGUAACACGUGAGUAACCUGCCCCCUUCUUUGGGAUAACGCCCGGAAACGGGUGCUAAUACUGGAUAUUCACUGGUCUUCGCAUGGGGGUUGGUGGAAAGGGUUUUUCUGGUGGGGGAUGGGCUCGCGGCCUAUCAGCUUGUUGGUGGGGUGAUGGCCUACCAAGGCUUUGACGGGUAGCCGGCCUGAGAGGGUGACCGGUCACAUUGGGACUGAGAUACGGCCCAGACUCCUACGGGAGGCAGCAGUGGGGAAUAUUGCACAAUGGGCGCAAGCCUGAUGCAGCGACGCCGCGUGAGGGAUGGAGGCCUUCGGGUUGUGAACCUCUUUCGCUCAUGGUCAAGCCGCAACAAUGGUUGUGGUGAGGGUAGUGGGUAAAGAAGCGCCGGCUAACUACGUG
This 483-nucleotide ribosomal RNA is filed under the name uncultured bacterium. RNAcentral's name for it is "partial 16S ribosomal RNA". It matches the Rfam family "Bacterial small subunit ribosomal RNA", at positions 28 to 507 of the family's 1533-position model. The record is from RNAcentral.